CGUAGGGUGCGAGCGUUAAUCGGAAUUACUGGGCGUAAAGCGUGCGCAGGCGGUUUUGUAAGACAGGCGUGAAAUCCCCGGGCUCAACCUGGGAACUGCGUUUGUGACUGCAAGGCUAGAGUAUGGCAGAGGGGGUGGAAUUCCACGUGUAGCAGUGAAAUGCGUAGAGAUGCGGAGGAACACCGAUGGCGAAGGCAGCCCCCUGGGCCAAUACUGACGCUCAUGCACGAAAGCGUGGGUAGCAAACAGGAUUAGAUACCCUGGUAGUCCACGCCCUAAACGAUGUCAACUAGGUGUUGGGUGGGUAAAACCAUUUAGUACCGGAGCUAACGCGUGAAGUUGACCGCCUGGGGAGUACGGCCGCAAGGUUA
This 371-nucleotide ribosomal RNA is filed under the name uncultured organism. Its description in RNAcentral is "bacterial SSU rRNA". It matches the Rfam family "Bacterial small subunit ribosomal RNA", at positions 526 to 896 of the family's 1533-position model. The record is from RNAcentral.